CCUACGGGAGGCAGCAGUAAGGAAUAUUGGACAAUGCUCGCAAGAGUGAUCCAGCCAUGCCGCGUGCAGGAAGAAUGCCCUAUGGGUAGUAAACUGCUUUUGAACUAGAGAAAACCCCAGUACGUGUACUGGGCUGAUAGUAUAGUUAGAAUAAGCAUCGGCUAACUUCGUGCCAGCAGCCGCGGUAAGACGAAGGAUGCAAGCGUUAUCCGGAUUCAUUGGGUUUAAAGGGAGCGUAGGUGGACUGAUAAGUCAGUGGUGAAAUCUCCGAGCUUAACUCGGAAAUUGCCAUUGAUACUGUUGGUCUUGAGUACAGUUGCUGUGGGCGGAAUAUGACAUGUAGUGGUGAAAUACAUAGAGAUGUCAUAGAACACCGAUUGCGAAGGCAGCUCACAAAGCUGUAACUGACACUGAGGCUCGAAAGUGCGGGGAUCAAACAGGAUUAGAUACCCUGGUAGUCCGCACCGUAACGAUGAUUACUCGCUGCUAGGGGGCACCGUUUAGUGGCUUAGCGAAAGCGAAUAAGUAAUUCCACGUGGAGGUUACGCGGCGACGGNGAAGUUAAGAAGUUAGAGGCGNGAGAGNGCGACGGACGACGACGAGGGAGGUAGG
This 612-nucleotide ribosomal RNA is filed under the name uncultured bacterium. RNAcentral's name for it is "bacterial SSU rRNA". The stretch from base 1 to 536 matches the Rfam family "Bacterial small subunit ribosomal RNA", at positions 338 to 873 of the family's 1533-position model. The record is from RNAcentral.